ACUCCUACGGGGCGCAGCAGUGGGGAAUAUUGCGCAAUGGGGGCAACCCUGACGCAGCAACGCCGCGUGCAGGAAGAAGGUCUUCGGAUUGUAAACUGUUGUCGCAGGGGAAGAAGACAGUGACGGUACCCUGUGAGAAAGUCACGGCUAACUACGUGCCAGCAGCCGCGGUAAUACGUAUGGGGCAAGCGUUAUCCGGAUUUACUGGGUGUAAAGGGAGCGCAGGCGGCUUGGCAAGUCUGAUGUGAAAGGCUGGGGCUCAACCCCAGGACUGCAUUGGAAACUGUUAGGCUGGAGUGUCGGAG
RNAcentral lists this ribosomal RNA (305 nucleotides) under uncultured bacterium. Its description in RNAcentral is "bacterial SSU rRNA". It matches the Rfam family "Bacterial small subunit ribosomal RNA", at positions 335 to 654 of the family's 1533-position model. The record is from RNAcentral.